UGCCAGCCGCCGCGGUAAUACGGAGGGGGCGAGCGUUAUUCGGAAUUAUUGGGCGUAAAGGGCGCGUAGGCGGCCUGACAAGUCAGGGGUGAAAGCCCUCGGCUCAACCGAGGAACUGCCUCUGAAACUGUCAGGCUUGAGGCCGGGAGAGGGUGGCGGAAUUCCCAGUGUAGCGGUGAAAUGCGUAGAUAUUGGGAAGAACACCAGUGGCGAAGGCGGCUAACUGGCUCGGUACUGACGCUGAGAUGCGAAAGCGUGGGGAGCAAACAGGAUUAGAUA
Molecule: ribosomal RNA, 279 nt
Filed under: uncultured bacterium
Lineage: Bacteria
Description: partial 16S ribosomal RNA
Rfam family: Bacterial small subunit ribosomal RNA
Source: RNAcentral